RNA transcript from Salvia splendens (bonfire salvia), 3002 nucleotides. It is a transcript of the gene named probable serine/threonine-protein kinase At1g54610, with no coding region annotated. The record is from RefSeq and is a predicted model, not a curated record. NCBI's taxonomy places the organism in Eukaryota, Viridiplantae, Streptophyta, Magnoliopsida, Lamiales, Lamiaceae. The transcript is spliced from 9 exons.
AGCAAUUUACAUUUCGCUCCCGGCCAAAAAAUCUCUCUCUUCUCUCUCAAUCUCUCUCUCAGACACACACACACAUCUUCUUACAGUAAGAGUAGAUCUGCUGCUUGAUCAUUUUCAAGACUUCAUAUUUUCUUACCAGUACAAAAAAAAAUCCUAAUUUUUGACCAAAGUGGGGAAUUAUCCUUUUUGGCAUAAGCUCACUGUGAUCUAUCUUCAGUCCCACACAAAGCAGAGCGCAAUAAAACCACUACAAGUAUUUUUUCCACUGUAUAAUAGUAUUACUGUCUUUGCUUUUUGUAGGUAUAUUUGCUUCUUAAUUAUUCUUGUUGCUCCAUAAGCUGUGGGGUUUGUUCAAUUCAUAAUUGUUGCUUCUUCUUUUGGGGCAGCGACUUAAUUGAACAUUUCCCCUUUUCCCUUUUCCUUGAUUCUUCCCACCGGAGUGCAAGAUCAUAAUUUAGUUAAGAAUUACUUGAUAAAAGAUUUCAUUUUUAUUGAAUUUAGGGCUGCCCAUUUGCCUAAUUUUCCCAAAUUAGAUUGAUCUGGUUUGAGCCUUGGCUACCUUCUGGUGAAUCUUUGAUUUCUUGGGGUUUUGAAUGAGCUGUGUGAUUAUGUUAUGUGGUGAGAUAUGAGAGUUAGGGUUAUUGAGAAAUGGGGUGUGUAUUUGGGAAAGAGAUUUCGUCGUCUGAGCGAGGUAGCGGCGAUGUAGCUGGAAAGGGGAGAGGGAAAGGGGAAGAGAGAGAUUCUGGGAGGAGGGAGAAGGUAGUUGUUGGAUCAGUAGAUAAGGAAGAAGGAGAGGCUGCUAGUGUUGGUGUUGGUGGUGGAAGCCAAGCUCCGAAUGGCCGGGAUAAGGAGGAGAGGAAGGAAGGGAAUGCUCGGCAGCCUAGAGGCGAGAGGAGACGGUCUAGGCCGAAUCCGAGGCUGAGCAAUCCUCCUAAGAAUAUCCAUGGUGAGCAAGUGGCUGCUGGAUGGCCUUCUUGGCUCUCUGCUGUGGCAGGCGAGGCGAUCAAUGGGUGGACGCCUCGUCGUGCUGAUUCGUUUGUAAAGAUUGAUAAGAUUGGGCAAGGUACUUAUAGUAAUGUGUAUAAAGCUAGAGAUGCUAUAACGGGGAAAGUUGUAGCCCUAAAAAAGGUUAGAUUCGAUAAUUUGGAGCCCGAGAGUGUGAGGUUCAUGGCUAGGGAGAUUUUGAUCCUGCGUCGUCUGGAUCAUCCCAAUGUGCUGAAACUGCAAGGAUUAGCGACAUCAAGGAUGUCUUGUAGUUUGUACCUUGUUUUCGAUUACAUGGAGCAUGAUCUGGCUGGUCUUGUUUCAAAUCCCAGGAUCAAGUUUACCGAACCUCAGGUCAAGUGCUACAUGAAUCAGCUGUUGUCUGGCCUUGAACACUGUCACAACCGCCACGUCUUGCAUAGAGACAUUAAGGGCUCGAAUCUCCUCAUCAGUGAUGGAGGAGUUCUUAAGAUAGCCGAUUUUGGAUUGGCUUCCACGUUUGAUCCCAAUCACAAGCAGCCAAUGACUAGCCGUGUGGUCACUCUGUGGUAUAGGCCGCCCGAGCUGCUUCUUGGGGCCACUCACUAUGGUGUGGGUAUUGAUUUGUGGAGCGCCGGCUGCAUUUUAGCGGAGCUAUUUGCUGGGAAGCCAAUCAUGACGGGCCGGACAGAGGUGGAACAACUUCACAGGAUCUUCAAGCUAUGUGGUUCUCCACCUGAAGAAUAUUGGAAGAAGUCGAAGCUUCCUCAUGCGACCAUAUUCAAACCUCAGCAUUCGUAUAAACGAUGCAUAAAGGAGACGUUUAAAGAUUUCCCUCAGUCAGCAUUGUCUUUGAUUGAUACUCUACUGGCAAUUGAUCCAAGCGAACGUCAAACUGCUACGGCUGCGCUAAAGAGUGAAUUUUUCACAACCAAGCCGUUUGCGUGUGAACCUUCCAGCCUUCCGAAAUAUCCACCUAGUAAGGAGAUGGAUGCUAAGCGUCGUGAUGAAGAAGCCCGAAGGCUAAGAGCUGCUGGUAAAACUCAUGCUGACGGUGCAAAGAAACCUCGGACACGUGAAAGGGCAAUUCGGGGAGUUCCUGCUCCCGAAGCCAAUGCUGAGCUUCAGGCUAAUAUUGAUAGACGGCGUCUGAUUUCCCACGCCAACGCAAAGAGCAAGAGCGAGAAGUUCCCUCCUCCGCACCAAGACGGAGGGCUUGGCUACCCUCUGGGGGCAUCUCAGCACCUCGAUCCGAACUAUGAUCCUCCCGACAUACCCUUCAGCUCGACUAAUUUCUCGUACUCUAAAGACCCGAUGCAGACUUGGUCUGGCCCGUUGGCGGAUCCUGCUGGUGUCGGAGCCCCAAGAAGGAGGUCGAAACCAUCGAAGAAGGAUAAUCGGAAGGACAAGAACUCGAGCCGGAAUAAGGAGAGCGAAGACUUGUAAUGUAACACACACUCUUAUCACAUACAUGAAGAAGGUGCAGAUUAUUGUGUUAUAGUAUCAUCUUUGGCGGGAAAAUUUUCCAAACUGUUUUACGAGGUAUGAAGCCACUGAGUGGGCAUGGUGGGCCGGGCCCAGGCCCGGGCCGGAGAUCGAGCCUGCUCCAUGGUUGUUUCUACAACUUGUGCACUGCUAUCUGUUCUUGCUGCUAUGUAUUCUCUUGUUGCUGGCUGUUGGAAGACUGCUUUGGGGGGCAGCGUAGCUUUCCCUGGCCGCCGUAUGGAUCGCCGGAACCACCACCGCCGCCGCCGACGGUGGUCACCGGGCAUCACCAUCAUGGGAUAUUGGGCUCUGUCAUAGGAGGCCCACCGGGCCCACCCGGCCCAUAUAGUCACACCGGCCCAUAUGGUUACUCUGACGAACCGCCACCGCUUCCUUAUAGUUAUAGAUGAUUUUAUGCAUUUUCUUCACUGAAAUAAUGUUUUUCCCUUUUGUAUAUUAAUAAUGCUUGUGUCACAAAUUAGAUUGGUUUUUUUAAAUGUUUUAAUAAUGUCCACCUAUAUAUAUAUACGAUUAUACGAAUAUGAGAAUGAAUA